Molecule: long non-coding RNA, 694 nt
Filed under: Phoenix dactylifera (date palm)
Lineage: Eukaryota; Viridiplantae; Streptophyta; Magnoliopsida; Arecales; Arecaceae
Description: long non-coding RNA (PDAC_LNC018754)
Source: RNAcentral
UGAAACUUAAAACAGGAAAUUUUUUGGAUGUAAGUCUUGUAGUAGUGCUCACAUGCAUAUAUUUGACAAAUAUGUAUCUUCUUAUGCUUCUGUGGAAGAAGUAAACUUGGGUGUUGGAGCACCCAAAAGUUAUGCAAUUUGCCCUACACCAUUAUUAUAUUUUUACCCAAUAAAUAUUGUUUGAAAUGCCUGAAAGCAAUUGCAUCUCAGUUAUAAAUUAUUAAUUUUUAGUAUAAUUAUUUUUUCAUCAGAUAUCGUAAGAAUUUAUUGGACCAAUGCAGUGCUUGCAACUUUUCUUAUGCAUCUAGAAGAAAAAACAUGGCGGAAUGUUUCCUUUAUCACUUCAUUUUGCCAGAAUUGAAUAAGUGUAAGCAAUUUUCUUGCAUGGCUGAAGCCGUCAAUAGGAUCUUUUCAAUUUUUUGUUACUGUGUCCCAGUUGGACAUCAACUUUAGAUAUGCAACUGACUGGAUUUAUUUCCUGUUUUUUUGUUUUAGCUACCAUGUGUUAAAUAUUUCUAUUGAUGCUGCUUUUAGGCUCUUUAUUUCCUAGGAAAAAUUCUGAACUAUGAGAAAAUAUGGUUAUAAUGGGGAUGGAAAAAACUGUAAUUUGUACUUUUUGUUUAAUCUAUUUAACACCUAUUUGGCUAUUUAAUAAUCACUUCACUUUGUGCAUCUGGUUGUGUUAAACUUUGCA